UGUGGGAGCGGGCUUGCUCGCGAAUGCGGUGGGUUAUUCGGCAUUAAUGUUGACUGACACACCGCAUUCGCGAGCAAGCCCGCUCCCACA
This 90-nucleotide non-coding RNA is filed under the name Pseudomonas sp. 478. Lineage: Bacteria; Pseudomonadati; Pseudomonadota; Gammaproteobacteria; Pseudomonadales; Pseudomonadaceae. RNAcentral also lists the same sequence under 1 other name. The record is from RNAcentral.